This 784-nucleotide non-coding RNA is filed under the name Oryctes nasicornis. The record is from RNAcentral. Lineage: Eukaryota; Metazoa; Arthropoda; Insecta; Coleoptera; Scarabaeidae.
AUAUAUAAAGUUUUAUUUUGGCUUGUAAUUUUGAUACUCGAAUUUAAUAUAUGUGAGUUUUUGUGUACUUAGUAUUUUUAUAUAAUAGGAAUAGUUUUUAUUUUUGCAAUAUAGAGAAUUGAAUAUGAAAUAAGUUUUGAUUUAGGAAUUCGUUAUAGCUCUGAUAAAAUUUGUGCCAGCAAUCGCGGUUACACAGAUGGGGCAAUUAAGUUUUUUUCGGUUAAUAAUAAUUUAGAUUUUUUAUAAUGUUAGUUUAGAGUUAUUAGGUGAAAUUAGUAACUUUGAUAUAUAUUUUAAUUUAGAUAAUGAGGUUAUGAGGUUUUUAUAAUAAACUAGGAUUAGAUACCCUAUUAUUGAAAAUGCAAAUUUGAUGCCUGAGUAUUAGUAGCUAUGUUCUUGAAAUUUAAAAGAUCUGGCGGUAUUUUAGUCUAUUCAGAGGAACCUGUCCUAUAAUCGAUAGUCCACGAUUAAUUCUACUUAUUUUCAGUUUGUAUAUCGUCGUAGUUUGAAUGUUUUAUGAGAAAAUUGAAUGUUCAAGAUUCAUGUUAUUAUGAAUAAAAUCAGAUCAAGAUACAGCGUAUAGAUAAGGAGAGAUGGGUUACAAUAAGUUUACUUAUGUGGUUAGGAUGUUUAACAUGUUCUAUAAAUUGGAUUUGAUAGUAAUAUGGUUUAGUUUAACUGUAUGAUUUUAGCUCUAAAAUAUGUACAUAUCGCCCGUCGCUCCUUCUCUAAAGAAGGAUAAGUCGUAACAUAGUAGGUGUACUGGAAAGUGUACCUGGAAUGG